GCAAAGAGGUCACACCCGUUCCCAUACCGAACACGGAAGUUAAGCUCUUUAGCGCCGAUGGUAGUUGGGGGCUUCCCCCUGUGAGAGUAGGAC
This 93-nucleotide ribosomal RNA is filed under the name Lysinibacillus sphaericus OT4b.31. The record is from RNAcentral. Lineage: Bacteria; Bacillati; Bacillota; Bacilli; Caryophanales; Bacillaceae.